UCAUAGAUAUUAAGGUCAGAAGGGACUAUUAUGAUCAUCUAGUGGUUCUCAACUUAUUUACCAUUGUAGGCCACAUAUGCAGCUCUCCGUGUUAUGUGGCCCGCAUCUGCACAAUAUAUAUACACUACCUGUAUGGUCCUGAGGAUGUCACAUGGGCCGCUGCUGUGUGCUG
This is a long non-coding RNA of Dermochelys coriacea (leatherback sea turtle), 172 nucleotides long. RefSeq lists it as uncharacterized. The transcript is spliced from 3 exons. NCBI's taxonomy places the organism in Eukaryota, Metazoa, Chordata, Testudines, Dermochelyidae. The record is from RefSeq and is a predicted model, not a curated record.